GAUGAACGCUGACAGAAUGCUUAACACAUGCAAGUCAACUGUGGCGGACGGGUGAGUAACGCGUAAAGAACUUGCCUCACAGAUAGGGACAACAUUUGGAAACGAAUGAUAAUACCUGAUACUGUGAGAGAGCUUUGCGUCCCAUUAGCUAGUUGGGGAGGUAACGGCUCACGAAGGCGAUGAUGGGUAGCCGGCCUGAGAGGGUGAUCGGCCACAAGGGGACUGAGUCACGGGCCUGACUGCAACGGGGGGCAUCAGUGGGGAAUAUUGAGCAAUAGGCCAAAGUCUGAUCCAGCAAUUCUGUGUGCACGGUGAAGUUUUCGGAAUGUAAAGUGCUUUCAGUAGUGAAUCGGUACCUACAGAAGAAGUGACGGCUAAAUACGUGCCAGCAGCCGCGGUAAUUC
Molecule: ribosomal RNA, 404 nt
Filed under: uncultured bacterium
Lineage: Bacteria
Description: partial 16S ribosomal RNA
Rfam family: Bacterial small subunit ribosomal RNA
Source: RNAcentral